This 497-nucleotide ribosomal RNA is filed under the name uncultured bacterium. RNAcentral describes it as "partial 16S ribosomal RNA". It matches the Rfam family "Bacterial small subunit ribosomal RNA", at positions 28 to 507 of the family's 1533-position model. The record is from RNAcentral.
GAUGAACGCUGGCGGCGUGCCUAAUACAUGCAAGUCGAGCGAACGGACGAGAAGCUUGCUUCUCUGAUGUUAGCGGCGGACGGGUGAGUAACACGUGGAUAACCUACCUAUAAGACUGGGAUAACUUCGGGAAACCGGAGCUAAUACCGGAUAAUAUUUUGAACCGCAUGGUUCAAAAGUGAAAGACGGUCUUGCUGUCACUUAUAGAUGGAUCCACGCUGCAUUAGCUAGUUGGUAAGGUAACGGCUUACCAAGGCAACGAUGCAUAGCCGACCUGAGAGGGUGAUCGGCCACACUGGAACUGAGACACGGUCCAGACUCCUACGGGAGGCAGCAGUAGGGAAUCUUCCGCAAUGGGCGAAAGCCUGACGGAGCAACGCCGCGUGAGUGAUGAAGGUCUUCGGGUCGUAAAACUCUGUUAUUAGGGAAGAACAUAUGUGUAAGUAACUGUGCACAUCUUGACGGUACCUAAUCAAAAAGCCACGGCUAACUACGUG